Long non-coding RNA from Homo sapiens (human), 905 nucleotides. The record is from Ensembl. NCBI's taxonomy places the organism in Eukaryota, Metazoa, Chordata, Mammalia, Primates, Hominidae.
AUGGUGAAUUACUACAAAGUACUAGGUGUGCCUCAAAAUGCUUCCUCCCCUGAUAUUAAGAAGGCUUAUCACCAGUUGGCUCUGCAGGUACACCCAGACAAGAACCCAGGGAACAAAGAGGCAUCUGAGGAGAAAUUCAAACAAGUAGCAAGAGGCCUAUGAGGUCUUGUCUGAUGCCAGGAAAUGAAAUGAGUAUGACAAGUCCAGAAGGAACCGAACCAAAAGGGAAACAGAGGAGAUGGCAGAGACAAAAAACAUUUGGAGGAGGAACUAUGCAUUCUCAGGAUUCUCAGGUGAUGAUUUUUCCCUUGGCCUUGUGGGUAAAGCCAGGAGAUUCCACUCCUCCAUCUUUGAUGUGGCUCCCAUAUUGGACACAGGAUUUUCCACUUUUUUAUCUCUGGGCUCCAGAGCAAGUACCUCUACCUCUGAGACAUUUGAACCCUUUGUAAGCAGCAGACUGAGAAACUUCAGACUGGUCACCAUUUGUAGCCAGACAGUAAAUGGCAAGAGAGUUGUUACAAAGAAAGUGCUAGAAGAUGUGAGGGGGAAGAAUGAAGCAGAAAAAGACUGUUUCAUGAGAUUCCUCCACAUCAUUGGAAAUUGAUGGAAAAUCCCUGCUAUUGAUGACAAGAAAUGAUGUGUUGACAGGACUUCAGUUAAAAUUGGGGCCUGCUCUGAAAAUCUACGAAUAUCAUGUAAAACCUCUGCAGACAAAGCAUUUAAAGAACAACUCUUCAUAGUACAGUCAAAUUGGGGUCUUCGACCUCAAAAAAUACAUAAUGACAUAAUUUAGUUUCAUGUAAUGAAACUUUGUAAACAGAAUACAUACAUGUGUAUAUGUAAAGAAUUUCAAUCAAAUGAAACGUUAUCCUAUUGGAUAGACUAGGCAAUUCAUCAGCUCACCU